This 442-nucleotide ribosomal RNA is filed under the name uncultured bacterium. RNAcentral's name for it is "partial 16S ribosomal RNA". It matches the Rfam family "Bacterial small subunit ribosomal RNA", at positions 338 to 794 of the family's 1533-position model. The record is from RNAcentral.
CCUACGGGAGGCAGCAGUGGGGAAUAUUGCACAAUGGGGGGAACCCUGAUGCAGCAAUGCCGCGUGAAGGAUGAAGGUUUUCGGAUUGUAAACUUCUUUUGUACGGGACGAAGAAAGUGACGGUACCGUAAGAAUAAGCCACGGCUAACUACGAGCCAGGAGCCGCGGUAAUACGGAGGUGGCAAGCGUUAUCCGGAUUUAAUGGGUGUAAAGGGCGAGUAGGCGGGAUUGCAAGUCAGAUGUGAAAACUAUGGGCUCAACCGAUAGAUUGCAUUUGAAACUGCAGUUCUUGAGUGAUGGUGAGGCAGGCGGAUGUCCCGGGGUAGCGGUGGAUUGCGUAGAUACCGGGAGGAACCCCAGUGGCGAAGGCGGCCUGCUGGCCAUUAACUGACGCUGAGGCGCGAAAGCGUGGUGUGCAAACAGGAUUAGAUACCCUAGUAGU